Molecule: ribosomal RNA, 735 nt
Filed under: uncultured Atopobium sp.
Lineage: Bacteria; Bacillati; Actinomycetota; Coriobacteriia; Coriobacteriales; Atopobiaceae
Description: bacterial SSU rRNA
Rfam family: Bacterial small subunit ribosomal RNA
Source: RNAcentral
GAUGAACGCUGGCGGCGCGCCUAACACAUGCAAGUCGAACGAUUAAAGCACCUUCGGGUGUGUAUAAAGUGGCGAACGGCUGAGUAACACGUGGGCAACCUGCCCCUCUCAUUGGGAUAGCCACGGGAAACCGUGGAUAAUACCGAAUACUUCGAGUCUCCCGCAUGGAAGACUCGAGAAAGCUCCGGCGGAGAGGGAUGGGCCCGCGGCCUGUUAGCUUGUUGGUGGGGUAACGGCCUACCAAGGCAAUGAUGGGUAGCUGGGUUGAGAGACCGACCAGCCAGAUUGGGACUGAGACACGGCCCAGACUCCUACGGGAGGCAGCAGUGGGGAAUCUUGCACAAUGGGCGAAAGCCUGAUGCAGCGACGCCGCGUGCGGGAUGAGGGCCUUCGGGUUGUAAACCGCUUUCAGCAGGGACGAGGCGAAAGUGACGGUACCUGCAGAAGAAGCCCCGGCUAACUACGUGCCAGCAGCCGCGGUAAUACGUAGGGGGCAAGCGUUAUCCGGAUUCAUUGGGCGUAAAGCGCUCGUAGGCGGUCUGUUAGGUCGGGAGUUAAAUCCGGGGGCUCAACCCCCGUUCGCUCCCGAUACCGGCAGACUUGAGUUUGGUAGGGGAAGGUGGAAUUCCUAGUGUAGCGGUGGAAUGCGCAGAUAUUAGGAAGAACACCAGUGGCGAAGGCGGCCUUCUGGGCCAUAACUGACGCUGAGGAGCGAAAGCUAGGGGAGCAAACAGG